Capra hircus (goat) is the source of this 105-nucleotide small nuclear RNA. Lineage: Eukaryota; Metazoa; Chordata; Mammalia; Artiodactyla; Bovidae. The record is from Ensembl.
GUGCUCACUUCAGCAGCAUAUGUACUAAAAUUGAAAUGAUACAGAGAUUAGCAUGGCCCCCUGGGCAAGGAUGACAUGCAAAUUCGUGAAGUGUUCCAUAUUUUU